GCGGUUGUGGCGGAAUUGGUAGACGCGCAGCGUUGAGGUCGCUGUGCGCAUAUACGUUCGUGGAGGUUCAAGUCCUCUCGGCCGCACCA
RNAcentral lists this transfer RNA (89 nucleotides) under Paracoccaceae bacterium. Its description in RNAcentral is "Rhodobacteraceae bacterium (activated sludge metagenome) tRNA-Leu". It matches the Rfam family "tRNA". From Rfam's summary of the family: Transfer RNA (tRNA) molecules are approximately 80 nucleotides in length. Their secondary structure includes four short double-helical elements and three loops (D, anti-codon, and T loops). The record is from RNAcentral. Lineage: Bacteria; Pseudomonadati; Pseudomonadota; Alphaproteobacteria; Rhodobacterales; Paracoccaceae.